This 253-nucleotide ribosomal RNA is filed under the name uncultured bacterium. RNAcentral describes it as "partial 16S ribosomal RNA". It matches the Rfam family "Bacterial small subunit ribosomal RNA", at positions 524 to 776 of the family's 1533-position model. The record is from RNAcentral.
UACGUAGGGGGCUAGCGUUGUCCGGAAUCAUUGGGCGUAAAGCGCGUGUAGGCGGCCCGGUAAGUCCGCUGUGAAAGUCGGGGGCUCAACCCUCGGAUGCCGGUGGAUACUGUCGGGCUAGAGUGCGGAAGAGGCGAGUGGAAUUCUUGGUGUAGCGGUGAAAUGCGCAGAUAUCAGGAGGAACACCAAUUGCGAAGGCAGCUCGCUGGGACGUGACUGACGCUGAGACGCGAAAGCGUGGGGAGCAAACAGG